RNAcentral lists this ribosomal RNA (600 nucleotides) under Triticum aestivum (bread wheat). RNAcentral's name for it is "partial small subunit ribosomal RNA". The record is from RNAcentral. Lineage: Eukaryota; Viridiplantae; Streptophyta; Magnoliopsida; Poales; Poaceae.
AUGGACAAGGGCAAGAUAUUCCUGAACACCUUCGUGCAGAUCUUCGGCAGCUGGUCUCUUGAGGGGGUCACCGACACGUCCAGCACCAAAGCCAUUUUCAACUCCAGGGUCGGCUUCACUCUGGCGUGGGCCUCACACAAAGCCCAGGGUGCUACCCCGGAGGCCAAGUAUGAAUCCUUCGUGGCCAUGUUCGACAAGUCGCUCUACAUCAUCGUCGGCAUCCUGAAGGUCCACUCCGGUGAGGAAGUCAAGGGGCCGAUCCCUGCCGGUGAGCUCAAGGCCAUCGACCAGAUCGACGCCGCCUUCAGCACUGCAGCCACCACUGCCGACGCUGCCCCGAUAAAGGACAGGUCCACCGUCUUCGACUCUGCCUUCAGCAAGGCCAUCAAGGAGACCACUGGUGAUGCAUACGAGGCCUACAAGUUUGUCCCUGCCCUCAAGUCCGCCGUCAAGAAGAGCUACGCCAUUUUUCUUCCCAGGAAUCCCCAGGACAAGCGCACGCUCAUUGAGUCAUUCCUGAGCGACACCAUCGUCUCCAUGGUCGUCCCCGCCCCCGCCACUCCCACCGCCGCCGCCGCUGCCAGUGGCUACAAAGUCUGA